CGGUCAUAGGUUACUCGAGAGGGACAUCGUGAUAACCGGACAGACUGGUGUGCUGUAUACCCAUCCAUAUGAUGGAUGCAGCUGGUCUCAUAGCUGCUCGUGUAGGGACACUAGGGAUAUAGUACAGGUGCUCAUUAGAGAAUGAGUUCACUGAUUGAUCCGCUUACGGAAUGCUGGAUGGUUGAUGAUGCCUUAUUGUCAGACAGCGAUUCCAUAGUCCUA
This 222-nucleotide long non-coding RNA is filed under the name Musa acuminata (dwarf banana). Its description in RNAcentral is "long non-coding RNA (MACU_LNC008755)". Lineage: Eukaryota; Viridiplantae; Streptophyta; Magnoliopsida; Zingiberales; Musaceae. The record is from RNAcentral.